This 166-nucleotide unclassified non-coding RNA is filed under the name uncultured fungus. RNAcentral's name for it is "sequence contains ITS1". The record is from RNAcentral. Lineage: Eukaryota; Fungi.
UUAACUAUUUGUCUUUUCUUCAGAAGGCAGGAUAGAAGAGUUUGGUCUUUCGGCAGGCAUGAUAGAGCCCGCCCUGGGCUCGCCUGCCGAAGCAACAGAUACAAAAUCACAAGGGUUUGGAGUUGGUAACUCGGUAAUGAUCCUUCCGCAGGUUCACCUACGGAAA